UCGGGAAUUUUGGGCAAUGGGCGAAAGCCUGACCCAGCAACGCCGCGUGAAGGAUGAAGUAUUUCGGUAUGUAAACUUCGAAAGAAUAGGAAGAAUAAAUGACGGUACUAUUUAUAAGGUCCGGCUAACUACGUGCCAGCAGCCGCGGUAAUACGUAGGGACCAAGCGUUGUUCGGAUUUACUGGGCGUAAAGGGCGCGUAGGCGGCAAUUCAAGUCAUCUGUGAAAUCUCCGGGCUUAACUCGGAACGGUCAGAUGAUACUGCUUUGCUAGAGUGCAGAAGGGGCAAUCGGAAUUCCACGUGUAGCGGUGAAAUGCGUAGAUAUGUGGAAGAACACCGGUGGUGAAGACGGUUUACUGGGCUGUAACUGACGCUGAGGCGCGAAAGCAUGGGGAGCAAACAGGAUUAGAUACCCAUGAGUCCCUGAGCGGGCUGGCAAGGCGCAU
This 446-nucleotide ribosomal RNA is filed under the name uncultured bacterium. RNAcentral describes it as "bacterial SSU rRNA". It matches the Rfam family "Bacterial small subunit ribosomal RNA", at positions 355 to 825 of the family's 1533-position model. The record is from RNAcentral.